Molecule: ribosomal RNA, 301 nt
Filed under: uncultured bacterium
Lineage: Bacteria
Description: partial 16S ribosomal RNA
Rfam family: Bacterial small subunit ribosomal RNA
Source: RNAcentral
CAGCAGCCACGGUAAUACAGAGGGUGCGAGCGUUAAUCGGAUUUACUGGGCGUAAAGCGUGCGUAGGCGGCUUCUUAAGUCGGAUGUGAAAUCCCUGAGCUUAACUUAGGAAUUGCAUUCGAUACUGGGAAGCUAGAGUAUGGGAGAGGAUGGUAGAAUUCCAGGUGUAGCGGUGAAAUGCGUAGAGAUCUGGAGGAAUACCGAUGGCGAAGGCAGUCAUCUGGCCUAAUACUGACGCUGAGGUACGAAAGCAUGGGGAGCAAACAGGAUUAGAUACCCCGGUAGUCCCUGUCUCUUAUAC